RNAcentral lists this long non-coding RNA (484 nucleotides) under Manihot esculenta (cassava). Its description in RNAcentral is "long non-coding RNA (MESC_LNC008315)". Lineage: Eukaryota; Viridiplantae; Streptophyta; Magnoliopsida; Malpighiales; Euphorbiaceae. The record is from RNAcentral.
GGUUCAGUCUCAUGUGGAUCAUCGCCGGAGAUGAGUGAGGCUGGUUCCAGAUCUGGCAGAGGGAGGAGAAGGUUUACCUCCGCAAACGGGAGUAAUAGUAAGAGGUGUAACAAUGGGAGCAAUAAUAGAAAAAGAAAAGGUUUGAGCGAGGAGAACGUGGAUGCGGUGGUGACUCUUCCUCUCCUACCGGAGACUCCUGACUGUAAGGACAGUCCCGGAAGAGAAACACCGGUGCAGCUGCUUUCACCAAAGCAAGCAAAGAGCGUUCCCACCUGGCUUAGCUUUGGUACCAAUGGGAAGGAUCAUGACCGGAUGGUGAUAUCCGGAGGUUUUGGCAUGUCAGAUUAUCAGACGGUUGUGACGCCACAUGUGAUGAGGGUGGUUGUUGGGUCAUGUGUAACUGUAGAAUGUAUUACGGACGCGUGGGUGGAUGCUGAUGGGCUGGGGUGUACGGACGAUGAGAGGAGGACGAAUCUGGAGAGGG